This 253-nucleotide ribosomal RNA is filed under the name uncultured bacterium. Its description in RNAcentral is "partial 16S ribosomal RNA". It matches the Rfam family "Bacterial small subunit ribosomal RNA", at positions 524 to 776 of the family's 1533-position model. The record is from RNAcentral.
UACGGGGGGGGCAAGCGUUGUUCGGAAUUACUGGGCGUAAAGGGCUCGUAGGCGGCCAACUAAGUCAGACGUGAAAUCCCUCGGCUUAACCGGGGAACUGCAUCUGAUACUGGAUGGCUUGAGUUCGGGAGAGGGAUGCGGAAUUCCAGGUGUAGCGGUGAAAUGCGUAGAUAUCAGUCGGAACACCGGUGGCGAAGGCGGCUUCUUGGGCCCUACCUGACGCUGAGGCGCGAAAGCCAGGGGAGCGAACGGG